AUACUUUGAAUAAACGGUCUUCGCAAAGGUGGAGACACCCUCGCGGCGGACAUCGGAGACGACGGAGCGGGCCUGUGAGGAGACCUUCUUCACGUUGGAGGGAACGCGGCGGUCCAACUCCCCGACCUUGCGAUCGGCGUAUUUGAGGAGCUCGCCUGGGACAAGGUGGAACCUGUCGUACACUGGAGCCACCACGGUCUUAACGGCCUCCUCCACGGUGUUAACGCCGGGCUUCAGAGGGCCGGCGCGUUCCUUGGCGUACGAGUAGAGGAUGGCGCAACGCAUGAGAGCCUGAAGAGUUGCGAAUUGCACGAAUUCAAGGUACUUGAGUUCUUGCUCUUCUUUUAUCUCAUUCUGCAAGAUUAAAUUAAAUUCAAAACCCUAAAUAAACCACAAGGAAAAUGGAACCCUCUCAUCUUUAAGAUUCAAUCAAAUUCGAACCAUACACAAACAACACAAAAAUUAGAAUAAUACUCUCGUCAUAAAAAUUCAAUCAAAUAAAACGAUAGAUAAACAACGCAUGGAAAAAUAUAAUACUCUGUCGUUCUCAGAAUUCAAUCGAGUUCAAACCCCAAAUAAAAUAAGUAACACACUAAGAAUAAAGUUCUGUCAUAAAAUUCAAAUAGUAAAUAAACAACCCAUGGAAAAUGAAAUCAUCUCGUUCAGGAAAUUCAAUCAAAAUUCAAACCCAAGAUAAACAACAGGUGUAAAGUGGAAUAGUCUGAUCCCUGAUGUUCAAUAAAAUUGAAAGCAUUAGAUCAAUCGCACAGGAAAAAUAGAAUAAUAAUAAUAAGGAUGAAAAGAUGGAUGGAACAUACGAUUUGUUGGGGUUGGGUUUCGGCAGCCAUGAUGAAAAUCUAGAAGAUUCUUUUCGGGGUUUAGGUUUUGGUGGAAAUUGGAGAGAAAUUAGGGAAGCUGUGAAUUUAUAGAAGGCAAAAGGGCGAUGUAUGGGAAUGAACACGAAUUUAGGUUCAUAUAGCGAGACAAAACGCGUUUCUUCUAAACUGCGCUGAAUAAAAUCUUGGAUUUUGAAUGUCACUGUUUCUUACAGGUUAAGUUUCAAAACAGAGUAGAAUCUAGAAUAUUCAUUUCAAGUACAAUAAACGUCAAUAAAAAAAAAUCACAAUACAUGUAUGUUUUCUUUUUUAAGGGUGACAAAGACCAAAAAUUCUAACCCGUUUAAGCCCAUUUGUACAACCUAAAGCCCGUAUAAAAAGAAGUUACCAUACAUGAUAAUAUUAUAUAUAUUUAACUCAAUGAAUUUUAUUAUCGAAAUUAGAUGUGAUAAUAUUUUAAAAGGAAACCUAAUUGUUAUAAUAUAUCUAACAUCAUUUUUAAAAGUUAUAUCUAAAGUCAUUUUUAUAUUUUUUUUUAAUUGGCUGAUUAUAUUUAUAUUUUAUACUUCUUUUAACACAUUUUCGAAAUCGACACACUAUAUUACUCAAACUAUGUCAAUGUUUCUUGAAUAUAGGUAGGGGUUUUUGAAUUCUAUAAAAUAACAAAAUCAUGAUUAUGAAGGUGAUUAUGAUCAGAAAGAUCAAUUAGAUUUCUGAUGAAAAUAAUUACAAAGAAAUGGUAGAUAUUUGGUAACAUGUUUGAGACUUUCAACAUAUACAUAUAAUAAUAAAUUUUUAGAUAAAAAUAAUUUAUAAGAAAAAAAUUAACUAUGAUUUCAAUUCAUUAAUUGUUGCAGGAAUAAUAAUUAUUUGGUGGAGAUGGUGGAUAGAUCAAGUCAGAUUCAAAUAGUGAUGUUUGAACUCUUGUGUUUCUUAUGAGAGAGAGUUGGAUGUAAAACAAUUGUUAUAAUGUUAAAUUUAAGUUAAAGGUUAUGAAUCUGAUAUUUACAACCAAAUCC
RNAcentral lists this long non-coding RNA (1855 nucleotides) under Vigna radiata. RNAcentral's name for it is "long non-coding RNA (VRAD_LNC010745)". Lineage: Eukaryota; Viridiplantae; Streptophyta; Magnoliopsida; Fabales; Fabaceae. The record is from RNAcentral.